This is a long non-coding RNA of Bos taurus (domestic cattle), 1258 nucleotides long. Lineage: Eukaryota; Metazoa; Chordata; Mammalia; Artiodactyla; Bovidae. The record is from Ensembl.
UCUGUGAUGGAUCGCAGUUGCAUCACAUGGGAUCUUCCUUGCAACAGGCCAGUUCUUCAGUUCUGGCAAUGUGAACUCUUAGUUGCAGCAUGUGGGAGCUAGCUCCCUGACUAGGGAUCGAAUCUGGGCCCUCUGCAUUGGGAGUGCAGAGUUUUAGCCACUGGACCGCCAGGAAGUCCCCAGGUUUGGUUCAGUUGGUUUGUUUUUCAGCUGUUAGGUAAGUAUCUACUGAUUUUUCACCCUUAUUGAUUACAGGCUUCCUGAGAGCAAGGACUGUGUCUUGGAUUCAUUACUCUGUCUCUCGCACCUUCAACUGUCCUUGGAAGCCACACUACCAGCCCAUACCCUGAAUCCACGUGAAUUAGAAAGAAAGGACACUCCUGCCUCAAAUUACUAGAACGUCACCACCUGUGACCAGAGUGUUCCUUGUAAAACUGCUUGGUAAUUGUGAAGUAAGUGACAUCCUCGGGUGGCAGGCAACCUGGGAGCAUGAUUUGCUCCAUUAUAUAAACAUCACCCCUGAGCUGACAAGGUUGUUACUAGUUUCCUUUGCUCUACACGCAACAAGCCAAAUGCUGAGAAACCAAGGUUUACAACCGAGAAAGAGUUUAUGCACAAGGCCGUUAAACAAGGAAACGGAAAACAAGACUUAGCUCUGCUUCCCUGAAGCCAAGAGGGUUGCAAUGUUUAUGGAAUGAGCAGGGAUGAGGAGGGUGGUCCUCAGUUCAGUUCAGUCGCUCAGUCGUGCCCGACUCUUCACGAACCCAUGAAUCGCAGCAUGCCAGGCCUCCCUGUCCAUCACCAACUCCCGGAGUCUACUCAAACUCACGUCAACUGAGUUCGUGAUGCCAUCCAGCCAUCUCAUCCUCUGAUGUCUCCUUCUCCUCCUGCCCCCAGUCCCUCCCAGCAUCAGGGUAUUUUCCAAUGAGUCAACUCUUCGCAUGAGGUGGCCAAAGUAUUGGGGAAAGGUGAUUCGUGCAGAAAGAGGUGCAGUGUGCUCAGUCACGUCUGACUCCACGACCCCAUGGACUGUAACCCGCCAGGCUCCUCUGUCCAUGGGAUUUCCCAAGCAAGAAUACUGGAGUGGAUUGUCAUUUCCUCCUCUAGGGGAUCUUCCUAACCCAGGGAUGGAAACUGCAUCUCCUGUCUCCUGCAUUGGCAGGCAAUUCUUUGUCCCUGAGCCACUUGGGGGCGCCUCCUUAUAGACUGCCAGGCAAGUAGAAGAGCCUCGGUGAAGAGUCACUGAAGAAAUAAAUAC